Molecule: microRNA precursor, 110 nt
Organism: Gallus gallus (chicken)
Lineage: Eukaryota; Metazoa; Chordata; Aves; Galliformes; Phasianidae
Source: Ensembl
GCAGCGCAGCCGACCCCGCAGAGAUGGAAGCGCUGCGCACGGUGCGUAGCAAAGAGGGGAUCUGGGUACCGUGUGCGCCCCGUCGGGGUCCCUGAGCCCAUCCCAUCCCC